AUCGACUAGCAUGCGAGUCAGGUGUCUUCGGACGCCGGCAUACGGCUCAGUAACACGUAGGUAACCUACCCUCGGGACUGAGAUAACCCCGGGAAACUGGGGCUAAUAUUAGAUAGAUAAAAGAUACUGGAAUGUUCUUUUAUCCAAAGCUUUUGCGCCUGAGGAUGGGCCUGCGUCCGAUUAGGUUGUUGGUGGGGUAAUGGCCCACCAAGCCUGCGAUCGGUACGGGCAGUGGGAGCUGAAGCCCGGAGUUGGGGACUGAGACAAGGCCCCAGGCCCUACGGGGCGCAGCAGGCGCGAAACUCUUGCAUUGCGGGAACCGUGACAGGGGGAUCCCAAGUGCUCAUGCAUUGCAUGGGCUGUUCUUUGGGUCUAAGUAACCGAGGGAGU
This 390-nucleotide ribosomal RNA is filed under the name uncultured methanogenic archaeon. RNAcentral's name for it is "bacterial SSU rRNA". It matches the Rfam family "Archaeal small subunit ribosomal RNA", at positions 39 to 436 of the family's 1478-position model. The record is from RNAcentral. Lineage: Archaea; Methanobacteriati; Methanobacteriota.